RNAcentral lists this long non-coding RNA (4951 nucleotides) under Homo sapiens (human). RNAcentral's name for it is "HSALNT0088080". The record is from RNAcentral. Lineage: Eukaryota; Metazoa; Chordata; Mammalia; Primates; Hominidae.
GUGAAUACCUACUUUUCUUUUUUCCAUAAUACUUAUCACCAUGUGACAUAUUAUAGCCUUUAUUUCUCAGAUGUUAUAUAUUGUCUUUCUCUCCUGUUACCACUAAAAAUAAACACCAAGGAGGCAGGGAUUUUGUGUGCUUUUUUCACUGCUGUGUCUCUAGCAACUAGAACAGUGCCUGGCACAUAACAGACACUCAAUAAAUACUAGUUGAAUAAAUAAAUGAAUGGCUCUUUCUACUUUACCUCCCUUCCAGUCUAAGCUUUGUCUUCAUCUUUGUUGCCUCAUGGCUACAUGAUGGCUGCUGCUUUCCAGACAUCAUGUCCAUGUCCAAGGCAAAAAGAAAUUGGGGAAGAGUAGUGCCAGACACAUGGGCCCUCUUUAUCACAUAAGCAAAACUUUCUCAGGAGUCCCAAGCUGACUUUAGUUUAUAUCUAUUUGGCUUGGGUUAUGGCACAAGCUACCAGCAGCAGUGAGAGAAACUAGGAAAGCAAGUAGGUAACUGGGCACAUUGCUGCCCUGAGCAAGAUCGAUAAGAAGAGAAGGGCUGGACAUGGUAUCACUAACUGGGUCUACUGUGAAACUGCUAAAGGAAGAACCCAAACUUUGGGAACAAAAUGGGAAAUGCACCACCCUCUCCUAGAAUCAUCUCUGCCUCACAUCCCUUCAUUUCCCAGAUGACCUGCCCUUGGCCACUGAAGGAACAUGAAAGGCACAGGCAGCCUGUGGCCUGAGGCUCAGAGAGUGCAACAGAGACCUUAGUGUCUGCUCCCUUGAAGCUCACCGGAAGGCCAGCAUAUAAUAGCGUUCAAAUAAUUGCAUCUCUCAGGCUUGCAAGCACGCUCAGCAUUGUUCAGGCAAACUGUGCCUUCCUGUGCCUCUGAACUUGGUCACCGCAGAUCAGCCCUGCCCAGUCUUUGGGUGCUCCAGACUGCACACUGAUGAAGAAACUUUGGCAACUGUUAAAUUGCCUGCAGAUGGGUCCAGUCACGCAGAAACAUUCAUGCAGUGUCCUCCAGACCCUUUGUGUGCUUCCCCGGAUACAAGAGAGUGGGACCUGGACCCCCCCUCUGCCCAGCAGGCUUAUGCUGCUCUACAUCCUCUGGGGAAGUGACUGCAGCUCAUUUGAACCUAGAAGCAACCAUGUGAUUCUCUCCCAGGCCGUGGUUCUCCUGACACAUGUAGCAGAAGCCAUUCCAGGAAGAAAAGGUGCCUGGACCCUGGAUAUUAGGGCCUGAAGCAAGGCAUCACCAGGAAAUUCUCUUCAGUUAUUUUGGCUCUGACCUCGAUUCCAUCAUGAUGCUUGUCACCACAUUCUUCACUAGGCCACUGCACCAAGGAGCACACAUGGAGCACAGAAUAGCCUUUAAAAAUAAUAAGGUGAAAUGGAUGAGGUGAGAAAGGCCCGGACCACACCGAGAAUCGAAUGCAUGGUAAACAUAGGGCCACGGGGAAGUCUUGACACCGCUCGGCAAGAUCUCUCACCGAUGGAUCCACCCUCUAUGUUUUCUGAUUGGACACAUUUCCUGAGAUGGGAAGGAUCAUGCUAUUGGCUGAGGCUGCAUCAGGGGAGUAAUAUUUACUCUGGAAAAUCUGGGAGAGGGUGUCCCAGUCUGUGAACUACCCAGACCCCCACGUUCACAGAAUACUAGGAUGAGGAGGAUCCCAAGGAACACCUGCAUCAACUCUCAUGUUCUACAAGGGAAGAAGCCAGGUCUCAGGGACAUUAAAUCACUUUCCCAAAUGUACCAAGCUAGUUAGAGUGAAGAAAGAUCCUAUUUAUCCCAGUUCCCAGUGAAAUGCCAUUUCUGCUCCAUACCUUCUCUUCUCCAUGUGUCCUAUGCUCUCGCACUUUUUGUGCUGCUUAGCGUUUUGCCCAGAGGUGUGCCAGAGAUUAUUGCUCAUUCUUUCUCCUUCCACGGUCACAACACCUCCCUGGGCUGGUGUCACCUCUUACUUUGCAAUUCAAAACGUUGAAGAAGGUGCGACCUGUCUAGAUUUUCGUGUAGCCUUCUCUCCUGAUUGCUGUUUCAGAUAACACAUUCAGGGUGUUGGUAAAUAGCUGUGAAUCAGAGCCUCGGGGACAGCCUGGUUUGGUGUGUGGAUAGUCUGGCUAAUGUCAUAGCAGUCCCUGCCUUAAAUAUCAAUGUCCGAGGAAGGUGGGAUGCUGUUUCCAAAAGAUUGAUUUGCACUUCUGCUAAUAUAUGGCUGAGUGUUCUUUAAAAUGGAGUAUUCUGCUUGCCCUCUGCCACCUUCACAACACCCUAAAUCUUUGGAAGAACGUGCUUCUUGUUGGACCUACAAGUGGGGAGCAUCUUGCCUUGUCCGGCCUGUCCCAGUUUCUCGGGAACCCUUGAGGUUUCUGUCCCUGUUCCACAUACUUAGCCCCAUCUCCAGGCUUCCUGUCCAUCAGCCUGAGAGACCAUACUCUAGGAGUCUUAAGUGCUGAGUUCCCUAGUGGGAACUCACUGGACUGCAACGCCCCAAGUCCCUCCUUCUCUCUCUGUGCCUUGGGAUGGGCUUUGUGCCAGCUGUGCCCAUCCUGCUGUUCUGCAGCUUGGUGCCCCUUCCUAACGUGAUGGGCCUCUGCUAAGGUCAUGUUCUUUCACCAACCCAGGGUCCUUCCAGCUCCUCCACCAAAACAGUGCCCUGGUUGUCCUCACUUGUCCCAUCUUCAGCAGGGAGGCACUUGAUUCUGUGGCAUUUGGCACUGCUCACUGGGCUUUCUUUUCUUUUCACUGUAAGACUCAUGCAUUAGAUCUGUCUUGCUAUAGUCCUAACAAUGUCUCUGUGUCCCCACUCCCAUUCAACUCUUGCCAUUCUCCAGCCAUUGCUCUUGAAGAAUGUGGGACUAAUAACCCUGGGUAGGGUCACAAGGCCCUGCAGAGGUGAUGCCAUGAAGUUGCCUACACAGAACUGCCUCCCUGCUAAGAGUUCCAGGAUCAAAUUCUUCUAGGUGCCUGCUUGGGUGGGUCCUCAUCCCCACCCCUGCCCAGGGCACCAUCUGUGGGAGAUUAGGAGGUAAUCACUGUCUACCCCUCAGACACCACGUGCUGCAUGACUGUGUCCUGAGGCAGCCACAUGGCUGCCAGCUCUGAAGGUCCUGAGAUCCCCAUUCUGAGGCCCUUCGCUGACUCACUGCUCUCAUUCUUCUUUCUCUGUCCACUCUCAGGGCAACUACAUCCACACGGUGAAGGCAGGGCCUGUGUAGUGGAUGCCAGGCUGUCUUCACGUACAUUUCUCUUUCUCUUAAGCAUCCUGGACCAUAAAGCCCUAGUGUGCUGCUCCUACCUUGCCAGUAGGACUCCUGUCUCAGCUCCGUCUCCUGAAGACUGACCCUACAGGAGAGAUACAAGCAUCUCCUGUUACCUGUGCCCAGAUGGUCCUUAAAAAAUCAUUUUCCUAUUUGAUAAACAUAAAAAUGUUAUGUCUGACCAGCCAACAGGCUCUAGACCUGAGCCAUCUAGGAAGAUGAGGCCCCACCCCUAACUGGUGCCCUCUUUGCAGAUUCACUGAUGCAGAUUCUUGUCAGCAGAGAUAACUUGUCAAAUUUUACUUUCAUCAAGAGAAAUAUAAUUAGAGUGAUGUACUUUUCAUUUCUAAAUUAUGAAAUUCUAUUAUAAUGUGAAAUAUGUAUUUUCAAAGUAUACAUACAUUUCCUUUUAGAAAUGUUGAUAUACCUCCCUAGGAACUUUCCUUCCUUUUGUUAGAAAAUCAAUGCUGUAAAAUGUUAGGGAACAAAAGAAAGGUAUGGAGGAAGAUCAACCUUGUGGGACCCAGGAAGAAGCAGGGAAGAAGAAUCCCACUAUGAAACUACCUUUCCAGGACAAAUAAUGUUCUCAGAAAUGGGCAUGUACUUUGUCUCCAGGCAGAUAGCCUGCCCAUUACAUUUUUGUUUUGUUUUGUUUUGUUUUGUUUUGUUUGAGACGGAGUCUCACUCUGUCACCUAGGCUGGAGUACAGUGGCACGAUCUCGGCUCACUGCAGCCUCCACCUCCUGGGUUCAAGCGAUUCUCCUGCCUCAGCCUCCUGAGUAGCUGGGACUACAGGUGCCUGCCACCAUGCCCAGCUAAUUGUUGUAUAUAUUUUUUAGUAGAGAUGUGGUUUCACCAUGUUGGCCAGGCUGGUCUCGAACUCUUGACUUCAAGUGAUAUGCCUACCUCGACCUCCCAUUACGUUUUAAAUAGCACAGCUCUCUGCUACGUUGUAUAUUUCCCAAAUAAAAAGUUUUCAGCUCAAUCUCUAGAAAAGCUCUGCUUUAUCAACUUUCUGUUUCUCAUGCCAUGAGUUGACUAUGACUCUCUCACGCACCUGCCAAUCAGUUUUAUCACUUGCCAUUAGGAGGUCCUUGGGAAGCAAUGGGAAAGCUCCCCAGUCCAGAGAAACUAACUUCAGGCAUGUGUCUGAACUCAGAGGCUCCAACCAAGAGCAGGGAAGGGCCUUGUGGGAGGUGAGUGCAUUUUGGAUAUGGGGAGCAAGGCUGGUGGGAUUCUGCUAACGAAACUGAUCACAGGUGACAGGGCUCUCCUUUGAACUUGAUUAUUUUUAAAGUUCACCUCUCCCUGAUCCAUAACGAGGUCUGGUGAGACUUGUCAUAGUCCCAGAAUUAUUUCGAUCAUUCCAGCUCAGCCGAAACAAUGAGAGAACAUCAAUAUGGCAACUCCUCAGAUGUCUGGGAAGAGGGAUCAUCACCCAGGCCUGGGAGCUCUGCGCAGUUUUGUCUGCCUUGGCUCCAAAGUGCUCUUUGCCCUUAACACUGCACCACUGUACAGAUUCACACAGCUGGCACUAGCUCCACAGUGGCUAAGGUUGUGCUGCUUAGGACUGACCUGGAGGAGAGGGGAGAAAAAGAUGGUAUUAGUGGCUCCCUUUCAUGUCAACAGGUUCACUGAAAAAGGAGCAAAGGGCUUAGUCAUGUUUUAAUGCUCUCAAAGCUUACUAUGUAUCCAGGA